AUUGAACGCCGGCGGCAGGCCUAACACAUGCAAGUCGAGCGGAUGAAGGGAGCUUGCUCCUGGAUUCAGCGGCGGACGGGUGAGUAAUGCCUAGGAAUCUGCCUGGUAGUGGGGGAUAACGUCCGGAAACGGGCGCUAAUACCGCAUACGUCCUGAGGGAGAAAGUGGGGGAUCUUCGGACCUCACGCUAUCAGAUGAGCCUAGGUCGGAUUAGCUAGUUGGUGGGGUAAAGGCCUACCAAGGCGACGAUCCGUAACUGGUCUGAGAGGAUGAUCAGUCACACGGGAUCUGAGACACGGUCCUGACGCCUACGGGAGGCAGCAGUGGGGAAUAUUGGGCAAUGGGCGAAAGCCUGAUCCAGCCAUGCCGCGUGUGUGAAGAAGGUCUUCGGAUUGUAAAGCACUUUAAGUUGGGAGAAAGGGCAGUAAGUUAAUACCUUGCUGUCUUGACGUUACCAACAGAAUAAGCACCGGCUAACUUCGUG
This 484-nucleotide ribosomal RNA is filed under the name uncultured bacterium. RNAcentral's name for it is "partial 16S ribosomal RNA". It matches the Rfam family "Bacterial small subunit ribosomal RNA", at positions 30 to 507 of the family's 1533-position model. The record is from RNAcentral.